RNAcentral lists this ribosomal RNA (189 nucleotides) under uncultured bacterium. Its description in RNAcentral is "partial 16S ribosomal RNA". It matches the Rfam family "Bacterial small subunit ribosomal RNA", at positions 338 to 524 of the family's 1533-position model. The record is from RNAcentral.
CCUACGGGAGGCAGCAGUGAGGAAUAUUGGUCAAUGGACGAGAGUCUGAACCAGCCAAGUAGCGUGAAGGAUGACUGCCCUAUGGGUUGUAAACUUCUUUUAUAUGGGAAUAAAAUGUUUCACGUGUGGGAUUUUGUAUGUACCAUAUGAAUAAGGAUCGGCUAACUCCGUGCCAGCAGCCGCGGUAAU